Molecule: long non-coding RNA, 2700 nt
Organism: Maniola jurtina (meadow brown)
Lineage: Eukaryota; Metazoa; Arthropoda; Insecta; Lepidoptera; Nymphalidae
Exons: 2
Source: RefSeq, a predicted model, not a curated record
AAAAUUAUACCCAAGGACAAGGGUUAAGGAUGGAUAAAGGUCGAGGACAAGACCUAGGGAAUGAUGAUGGUCGAGGUUAAGGCCGAAGGAAGGAUUUAUUUAUUUAUUUACAUUAUUUAUUUAUUCAUUUUAUUUAUUUAUAUAAAGGUCGAGGACAAGACCUAGGGAAUGAUGAUGGUCGAGGUUAAGGCCGAAGGAAGGAUUUAUUUAUUUAUUUACAUUAUUUAUUUAUUUAUUUUAUUUAUUUGUAUAAAGGUCGAGGACAAGACCUAAGGAAUGAUGAUGGUCGAGGUUAAGGCCGAAAGAAGGAUUUAUUUAUUUAUUUUAUUUAUAUAAAGGUCGAGGACAAGACCUAAGGAAUGAUGAUGGUCGAGGUUAAGGCCGAAGGAAGGAUUUAUUUAUUUAUUUAUUUUAUUUAUUUAUUUAUAUAAAGGUCGAGGAUAAGACCUAAGGAUUGAUGAUGGUCGAGGACAAGACCUAGGGAUUGAUGAUGGUCGAGGACAAGACCAAAGGAUGGAUAAAGGUCGAGGACGAGACCUAGGGAUUGAUGAUGGUCGAGGAUAAGACCAAAGGAUGGAUAAAGGUCGAGGACGAGACCUAGGGAUUGAUGAUGGUCGAGGACAAGACCAAAGGAUGGAUAAAGGUCGAGGACGAGACCUAGGGAUUGAUGAUGGUCGAGGACAAGACCAAAGGAUGGAUAAAGGUCGAGGACGAGACCUAGGGAUUGAUGAUGGUCGAGGACAAGACCAAAGGAUGGAUAAAGGUCGAGGACGAGACCUAGGAAUUGAUGAUGGUCGAGGACAAGACCAAAGGAUGGAUAAAGGUCGAGGACGUGACCUAGAGAUUGAUGAUGGUCAAGGAUAAGACCAAAGGAUUUAUGAAGGUCGAGGCUAAGACCGAAGGAAGGAUUGAUGAUGGUUGAAUUCAAGAACUAAGGGGUGAAAAGUCGAGGUCAAGACUUAAUGGAUGGAUGAAGAUUGAAGUUAAAACCUGGUGCAUGAGGACAAGGGCGUCAAUGACUUUGGAAAUUCUUUGGACAUUACGUUGUGAUGUAUGUGUACAACCUGAAAGCUAAACUGCAACUUGAAGAAUGAUAUCAAAGGAAACCAAGGACAGCAUCUUAUUUAAUGAACAUAAGCAAAAAGUUAAUGAGGGAAAGUACUCAAAAAAAAAAGGUUGAGGAAAAAAACAAAACUUUCAGAAUCCUUUCUUAGUGACGAAGACGAUGCUAAGCUUCUUAUAGAAAUCGUAAACGAGUCUGUUACGGUGAAUCUUUGAAACAAUAUUAUUAUGCUGAAAUUAAUAUUUUGUGAUGAAAGAACAAGUGAACAAAGUGUAUUUCAAGAAAGACUAAGAUGGACAAUUUCAUAGUAUAUAAGAUAAUUAAUAAGUUUAGAAUAAAAGUAAACUACUUAUUAGUCAUAAUAUUAGGCUAGGUGGCAGUACAAUUGAGUAGCUUAUUAGCUCAUACUCAUAUUAAGAAAAAAAAAAAAAUUUUUUUUUCAAACAAUAAAUGCAAAAUAAAUGACGCACUGUAAUACUGUAAUACGAUUUUCUAAGACUGAAUCAGUUUUAAAGUAGUUUAGAACUGAAAAUCGACAAUUUGAGUAAAAUUGGUUGGAAUAAGCUUUUGAUUAGAUGUACUAAUUCUGUGAUGGAAUGAGUUGAUGUCGAAUUGUUACAGUAAUGAAAUCAACAAUGAAAUUUUUCUCUUUCACAUAAAAAUGUAAACAAGUAUCAGCAGUUAGUGUUAACGAUAAAGCGAUUGAUAAGUACAUAAUGAAUGUGAAUUUGAAUAGCCGGCUUUCACUGAUCAGGAUAAGUGAUGUCAAACUACUCAAUUCAAGACUUAAUUACCGACAUAGACUUGGCAAUGUAAGGAAAUUUAGGGCUUGAUAGUUGCUGAUAGGGCUUGAUAAUUGCUGAUAGGGCUUAAAGGUUCAAAAUAUUAAAGAAGAUGUUGGCAUUUCUGUAAUUGAGUAUCAUGUGAAUACUUGUGUGAAAAUACCAAAAUUAAUUAUUGAAAUUUUGUUUCAAUUACUGUGUAUUAUGUUUUGGCAAUGUGUACAAUUUUAUGCGGGGUUUUUUUUUUUUUUAAAUGAAUUAAGAAAGAUCAAAAGAAGUAAUUUGCAGUUAAAAGAUUGAAUCGCGAAGGGACUCGCGCUUAACAGGAAGGCCGAGCUGUUAAGGUCGUAUGCUUAUUAUUGAGAUUAAUUAUUAAUAUGUGAUAUAAUUCUAUACUUUCAUGGUAUUUUUUUUAGUUUAAAAAGAUUAAAACGCGAAGGGACUCGCGCUUAACAGGAAGGCCGAGCUGUUAGGGUCGUAUGCUUAUUAUUGAGAUUAAUUACUAAUAUGUGAUAUAAUUCUAUGUAUAAUAAUAUUAAUUAAGAGCUUAUGAGGCGCAUGAUGUAUGAAUUGUAUGUCUGUAUAACUUACCUUAGUUAAUAAUAUAAAAUUAAUGUCAUUAGUAAAACCUCUUUGAAAUGGAUUGCAUAAACGAUUAUAAAAACUAUAAUGUCAUAAAAUGUAUUCGAAGUUCGAUUCGGGGUUGACAUUGGAGUAAGAAGACAAGAUGGAACAGAAUAUGUUUUUAUAGUGCAAAUGUUCGACGAAAUGUUAAUUUAAUUUAAUAUUAAUAAAUGAUAAGAGAAGUAAGAUUGUAAAAUAGAAUGAUAAAGUAAUAAAUGAGUUGUAAAUAUU